Molecule: non-coding RNA, 495 nt
Organism: Macaca mulatta (Rhesus monkey)
Lineage: Eukaryota; Metazoa; Chordata; Mammalia; Primates; Cercopithecidae
Source: RefSeq, a predicted model, not a curated record
UGGGCAGCAACCUUGAGAGAUGACGUAUUACCGGACAAAGAGUACAUUUGCUUACUGCUUGAUAUGAAAGGAGUAGAUCCUCUAGGAUUAACUUCCCAUCUGAAACAGAAACAUUUAUCAAACAUGAAAAGUUUAUAGAAGGUGUAUACAUUUAUGACAUGAGAUAUUUUGAUACAAGCAUACAAUGUGUAAUAAUUAUGUUAAGUGAAAUGGAGUAUGUAUCACCUGAAGAAUUUAUCCUUUCUUUGUUAAAAAGAAUCCAAAUAUAAUAUUUUAGCUAUUUUAAAAUGUUCUAUAAAUUACUGUUGCCUAUACCGGUCCUGCUAUGCUAUCAACUACUAGAUCUUAUUCAUUCUAUGUAAGUAUAUUUUUGUACUCAUUAACCAUCUCCCCUUACCACCCCCCCACUACCAUUCCAAGGAACUGGUAAUCAAUGUUUUACACCCUAUCUCCAUGAGUCUCAUUGUUUUAAUUGUCAGCUUUCAUAAGUAAGUG